Meriones unguiculatus (Mongolian gerbil) is the source of this 2495-nucleotide long non-coding RNA. RefSeq lists it as uncharacterized. The transcript has 4 exons. The record is from RefSeq and is a predicted model, not a curated record. Lineage: Eukaryota; Metazoa; Chordata; Mammalia; Rodentia; Muridae.
AGCUCAUUUAUUUUUCUCCCUCCUUGGAAUCUGACAGGCCAAGGAGAAUUCUGGUUUCAGAGAGAUGCCAGAUUCUGUACUGACGCCAUCUAGGAAUGUAAAUGCUCAGUGUCACACUGCUAAGUGGGUAAAGGGUCUCCCCAGAACCACCACUAUUUGCUUGGCUGGAAGUUCCAAAGUCCCAAAGGAUCUUUGAUCCUCCUACAGACCUGGGAUUAGAAGCAUAUGCAAGACACCCAGCUUUCAUUGGUAUUUGGAUCUGAACUCCAGUCCUCAUGCCUCUGCUGCCAAGAGAAUCUGACUUUUCCUCAAGAAGUUCCCCAAACAAAUGACUUGGCUCCUUUCCCCAAUAUUAGCAGUGUUCUACAAGAAGAUGGAUGACCAUCAGGAACAUUGCAUGGACCACAUCGAAUAACAGGUGUGAAACCUACCUGGAGCUGAGCCCACAAGGGGGAGCUACAAUGGUUGUUGUUGGACUCAUCCUGACAACAGCUUUCUUUGCAGGAAAGAUUCUGAGGAUGGAAUGGAAAGCACCGGGUUUCUCACCUAUGAAGACAAGGCAUCAUGCAAAUGGGAUGAAUCUAGGCUGCCCUCAACAAGUAUCCGUCUCUAUUUACUUUGAAAAUAGGGAUAAAAAUGGAAUUGUUGGAGUAUUAUAUUGCAUAAUUAUGCUAUAUUAUUUAUGCCAUUUGGUAACAAAAGUUACUAAAUUACAGUGUGCUUUGCUAUCCAUCUCUGUACAGAACUUCAAAAUUGAAUUCCACUUCAAGAAAUUAUUUCAAAAUUACUGAGAAAAUGUCCUCUACUGACUUUAGGUUCCAGUUUAUUCAACACCAAUUCAUUCGGUGAUGAUGUCCUGAAAGAUCCCUGAAGUCCUGUGGAUGAAAUUCAUAUGACUCUGCCCUUCAAGUACUCGUUGUGACAGCUAGAGACUAAAUGCAUCCUGUUGUCGGUCUGAUGCUUUGUUGUUCUGAAUUGUUAAGAUAUUGUGACUUAUUGUAUAGCAAGACAGAGUAGUCCAGCUGCUUAUGACUAAGUACAUAUUAUAUAUGAGAUAGUAAAUGUUUGUGUACUUGAUAAUCAAUUAAAAAUUAAAUUUACUUAUUUUUAUUUUAUGUUUAUAUGUGUAUUGCCUGAAUAUAUGUAUGUUCAGCAUGAAUGCCCAAUGUCCACAAGCAUCAGAAGGGCCAUGGGAAAAUGAGUUACAGGGUGUUGUAAACCACAAUAUAGGUGCUGGGUUCUAAACCCUGGACUUCUACAAGAGCAGUAAAUGUUCAAAACCAAUGCAUCAUCUCUCAAAAUCCCCAAAUGCUCAAAACUUUUGUGGAAUGAAUAAAUGAACAUAGAUAAAUAUAUACUUAUUUAUAUGCAUAACACACACACAAACAUGGCGAGUCCAUUUAGUGUUGUUCCUUCUGCAUGUAUCUUGAGGACUGACCAGUUAGGAUUGCACAUCUGAGCGCUAACUUCUUUCUACAGCCUGUAAAUCCAGCUCUUCCUCCAUGGAUGGGGGCUUGUGAGAUUUUGUUACAUCUGGCAUAUCAACUGAUGGUGUCAUUUUGCAGGUUUUAUUUGGGCAACCAUGCCGUUGAGGUUUUACUGGUGCAGCUUCCCUUACACAGAAAGCACUACCGCCCAGCAGAUGUUAGUGGCCUCCAUUGGUCAAAUAUUUCUGCCUCAAUUUUUUUUUAAUGCUUCCAGAAUUUUAGGUUUAGAAAUUGAAUUGUAGAAAUGUCAGAUGGAUUUAGGUACCCCAUGUACAGUUGGUCUCUUCAUUUCGGCCAGUUUUUCUGUAAUAGUGUCCCUUUAAUGAAAGAAAAAAAAAAAAAGAAUGCAGGUAAAAAGGGAUUUCUGUUUUAGGAAAGUAGGAGUAGUCGGUUCUUCGUUAGAGUCCAUGACUAUGGUAAUGGUACCAAGCAUGCAUUCCUUCCUAUUUCAGGCAUUAAGUACAAUUGAAUGUUGGUUAUCCCAAUAAUAAUUGACAUCUUUGUGUAAUCUUGCCAUGUUGGCCGUCAUUGCAGCUCAUACAGGUUACAUCUGGGUAGAACUUAUGAUUGGUUUUCUUCUUUGGCAGCCUACAGAGCACCUUUCUAAACUAUGAGGGGCAGUUCUUGAGAACACUCUCAAGAAGUUAAUUCCAGUUUGAUUCUUCUAGGUUAUGUGUCUGAAGUGUGUCCUGUCUUCAAUAACAGAGACUUAUCUUCAAAUUCCGAGUUAACUAAGGGCAUCAGCAAGAUCCUAUAGUGUUUUGGGGUCUUAUGUACUAUCCUGACAAAAUUUCAAAGAGUUGUUUCUCAUAUUUGCAACCAGGGUUUUAUUAAUCUAUGUUUUUUGGGAAAAACAUUAUAACUCCAAAUGAUGUAACAUCAUUUACUCUUUAUGUAUUUGUGUAUGUAUCAAUCAUCUAAUAACCCAUCCAUCUAUCAUUUGUCACUUAUACAUCCAUCAUCUCUAUAGUUAUACACUGAUGCAUACACAUGUGUACACAUGCAGAA